GAUAGCUCAGCCAUUAGAGCAUGAGACUCUUAAAUCUCAGGGUCGUGGGUUUGAGCCCCACAUCGGGCAAAACA
Podarcis lilfordi (Lilford's wall lizard) is the source of this 74-nucleotide non-coding RNA. The record is from the annotation of a GenBank genome assembly. Lineage: Eukaryota; Metazoa; Chordata; Lepidosauria; Squamata; Lacertidae.